Molecule: long non-coding RNA, 716 nt
Organism: Salvia hispanica
Lineage: Eukaryota; Viridiplantae; Streptophyta; Magnoliopsida; Lamiales; Lamiaceae
Source: RefSeq, a predicted model, not a curated record
GUGCCGCGAUCUGGCGGAGGCCGAUAAGUGGCGCUAGCAAAUCAUGCGCGAAAUCGGACAGAGUGCGUUCUCCGAUCAUUCCAGAGUGCAUUCUCCGAUCAUUGCCUGUUAAUUUCCCGCGCCGAUCUGAGCAAUUGAAGGAGAUUGAUGAGGAGUUAAAGGAUGAGUCAAGUAUUUGAAGGUUAUGAGCGGCAAUACUGUGAGAUAUUCUGACAUGGUUGGAGAAGCGGCGGCAGGAUAGAAUCUGGAACGAGAAGCGGCGGCGGAGGCUGGAGAAUCUUCUCGACGCGGCGGAGCGGCCAGAAUCUAAUGACUUCAUGGAGCUACCGCCUCGAUCGGGAGAGAAAGAGGCGAAUUUUUUCUGCAUACUUACAAAUUAGGCUAUUCCGAUGGCGAGAAGCUGCUGAGGAGUCGGAAGCUGAAGAAGGCACCGGUGAAGGCGAAAUCAGCGGUGGUUUCGGCGUUGGAAUUUGUCUGCGGCGGCGCGUUGAGAUCCUGCAAUUUCAGAGCAGCUAUUCAGGCUGCGUCUCCUCAUCGAGCUACUAAGUUUGGUGGAUGAGGAUGAAUUUUUGGGGAUGAAUUGAGAGUUGGAUUUUGGAUUUGUUUGAUAAAUUUCAGGAUAGAGAGAACUUCGCGACGAAGACAUGGUUGGGAUAUUUGACAAUUCUAGUUAAUUCUGGGGCUAAUUCUUCGAUUGAGUUUGAAAUUGAAAUUAA